GGGUACAGGUGCAGAGUGCAGGUGUAGGGUACAGGUGCAGAGUGCAGGUGUAGGGUACAGGUGCAGAGUGCAGGUGUAGGGUACAGGUGCAGAGUGCAGGUGUAGGGUACAGGUGCAGAGUGCAGGUGUAGGGUACAGGUGCAGAGUGCAGGUGUAGGGUACAGGUGCAGAGUGCAGGUGUAGGGUACAGGUGUAGAGUGCAGGUGUA
Long non-coding RNA from Brienomyrus brachyistius, 208 nucleotides. RefSeq lists it as uncharacterized. NCBI's taxonomy places the organism in Eukaryota, Metazoa, Chordata, Actinopteri, Osteoglossiformes, Mormyridae. The transcript is spliced from 3 exons. The record is from RefSeq and is a predicted model, not a curated record.